RNAcentral lists this ribosomal RNA (657 nucleotides) under uncultured Bacilli bacterium. RNAcentral's name for it is "bacterial SSU rRNA". It matches the Rfam family "Bacterial small subunit ribosomal RNA", at positions 87 to 730 of the family's 1533-position model. The record is from RNAcentral. Lineage: Bacteria; Bacillati; Bacillota; Bacilli.
AAAGAGGAGUGGCGAACGGGUGAGUAACACGUGGGUAACCUGCCCAUCAGAAGGGGAUAACACUUGGAAACAGGUGCUAAUACCGUAUAACAAUCGAAACCGCAUGGUUUUGAUUUGAAAGGCGCUUUCGGGUGUCGCUGAUGGAUGGACCCGCGGUGCAUUAGCUAGUUGGUGAGGUAACGGCUCACCAAGGCCACGAUGCAUAGCCGACCUGAGAGGGUGAUCGGCCACAUUGGGACUGAGACACGGCCCAAACUCCUACGGGAGGCAGCAGUAGGGAAUCUUCGGCAAUGGACGAAAGUCUGACCGAGCAACGCCGCGUGAGUGAAGAAGGUUUUCGGAUCGUAAAACUCUGUUAUUAGAGAAGAACAAGGAUGAGAGUAACUGUUCAUCCCUUGACGGUAUCUAACCAGAAAGCCACGGCUAACUACGUGCCAGCAGCCGCGGUAAUACGUAGGUGGCAAGCGUUGUCCGGAUUUAUUGGGCGUAAAGCGAGCGCAGGCGGUUUCUUAAGUCUGAUGUGAAAGCCCCCGGCUCAACCGGGGAGGGUCAUUGGAAACUGGGAGACUUGAGUGCAGAAGAGGAGAGUGGAAUUCCAUGUGUAGCGGUGAAAUGCGUAGAUAUAUGGAGGAACACCAGUGGCGAAGGCGGCUCUCU